UUUAUAAGAGAAAAAAAUAAGAGUUAAGGAGAUAUAUAGCACAUCUUUAAUAUCUAGUGAUGGGUUGUUUUGGCAAGCGAAACUCUGAAAAGAAACAAAACCCAUAUCAAACACCUGCCGGAGCAACUAAUCCUCCUCGUCAACCUCAUUAUGGUGGAGCUAGAAAAGGCAAAAGUCACAGCAAACAUAGCCAUGGUGUUGGAGCAGUUACUGCAGGUGUUACUGCUGCAGUCGUUGCAAGUUCAGCCGCUUCUAGUGGUGCUGGUGCUUGUGGUGGAGGUGGUUGCGCCGUUUGAGGCUGUUGAGGGUUGUCUUUGCAACAAUUCAAUUUGUUCUUUAUAUAUUUAUUAAUUACAUAUCAUCUCUUGAGAUUCUAUUAAUUUGUCAUGUUUUUACUUGAAUUUCAGAAAAAAAAUUAUAAAAGAAAAAAAAAAGGAUUGAUUGUAAGAAAUAUAUAUUGUUGUAUAUGUUCUGUGUUUAAUAUAUAUAUAUGUGAUUAUGGAAUUAUUGAUGUAAAUGAUUUAUUAUUAUUAUUAUUAUUAUUAUUAAUUACAACCAAGAUUUUAUAUUGAUAUAGUAAUAAUUUUAUUUUUAGUUAUUAUGACUAAAAUAAAAAGUAUUAGGAGCUCAAUGAUUAUAUAUAAAGGAUAUCAUAGAAUUUUAAAAUAAAAAUCUUAAUAAUUCGGUGGUUUUAAUUCAGAAAUUUAAUUUUUUUUUUUUGAGACUGAAGAAUAUAUUUUAAUCAUAAUGUAAGUAAUAAUAUAAGGAAACAUUUAUAUUUUGAUUAUUUUAAUCUGAAAGUUAAUUCGUUCAUGUCUAGAAAUAGUUUUUUUUACCAGUUUAUUAAGCACAAGAAUUAAAUAUUUAUUUCCAAAAAUUAGAAAUAUACAAGUGUUAAUAUUUACAUAAUUUAAAGACAAAAAAUUAUUUGUAAGUAUAUUUGAGUUUUAUGUAUAAUUAAAAAAAAACUUUGUUUAAAAUAUAUAAAAAAUAGGAUUUUAUUCAUAAUAAUAAAAAUCAGUAUUAUAGAAAAUAUAUGACUAUCUCUUAAACAUCAAACAUGAAAUUAAAAAUUCAUAUAUCAUCAUACUAAAUUUAUAAAUUUAAAUUUAUAUUAUUUAUAAUUAAAUUUUUUUUCAUACAACAGAAUUCAAUGACCAUUUAAAUUCAAGAUAUUUAAUUUUAAAAUGAUUUUAGUAUCAAUGAGUUAAAAACAUUAAUUAUAAUUAUAUAUUUUAUUAAAAAAAUCUUAAUUUAUGUUAAAAUUUACUAGGAAUUCCAAAUCAAAUCGAAUGACCGUAUCGAAUUGUAGUAAAAUUCAAAAAAAAAAAUUGAUAUUAUAGAAAUAUGAUCAUAUUGAAUUAAAUUUAUUUAAAUAUUUGAUUAUGAAUUUAAUUUUUUAUCCAAAACCGAAUCGAAACUAUAUUGAAAAAUUGAUUAUAUAUAUAUUUUUAAUAAUUUGAAUAAUAUUAUAAUUUUUUUUAUGUAGUCUUAAUAAAAUAUUUUAUAUUUUAUAAAUCGUUUCAAUAUAAUUAUGUAAAAAAAUAUUUUAUAUUUUAUAAAUCGUUUUAAUAUAAUUGUCUAAAUUUAUAUUACCAAAAUUUAUACCGUAAGUUUAAGGAUAAAUAUGCAAUUUAAAAUGAUUAUUUUAUUUUAUUUAUUAACAACCGAUAUAGAUUUAUUAUAAAAAAAUUAGCAAUGGAUCAAAUAAAUUAAUACAAGAAGUCAUGAAUACACGUCUUGAUAAUGAAAUUCACAUACAAAUAUCAAGAGAUGGUAAUAAUAAGGUUUUGUUUUCAAAUGUAAUUAAGCAAAAGAAGAAGAUUUCAUGAUGUUACGCUUGACAAACAGAUGGAUCAAGGUAUUUUAUCAUUAUGGUAAGCUAUUCACUUUUAUUAUAUCGAUGUGAAUUAAUAUCUAGCGAAAUAGCAAUAGAAAUUUUUUCAUAUAUUUAUAAUUCAUAAUUUAAUUACACAAUAUUUUACUUUAAAUAUAGGAGUUUGAAUCGGUAAGAAUGAAUUUUGGAAAGCCAAAUAUAAAAAAUUCAAGAAUUUUUGGACUAUUUUGAAAGUUAAUUUAUUUUAUUAUACUUACUUUUUCCAUUUAAUUUGAUAAGAUUUUAUUUGCAAUCAGUAAACGGUUGUCUUAUUAGUUAUGAUAAUUUAUUUUAGAAUUAAAAAAUAAUAACAAAUAUGAAUGAUUACUUAACCAUUAAGUUUAUUUAUAAUUUUCUUGUAAUAGUGGUCUCUAGUAAUAUGACAAUUUCUCUUUUUGAAAAAAUCAAUGGUUAAAUUUUCUCAUAGGAAAGUACUAUAGAUUACAUUUACACGCAAUAUUUAAAAUUUCUGUUUAAAUUUGGUUGAAUCUUAUGCACAUUUUUAUUUUCUUUUUAAGCAAUUUUACAUUUUAAAAUCUAUGAACUCGAAUAAUAUAAAUUGAUUGGCAUUAAAAAAACCUUUUAUAAAUGAUAAAAUACUUUUUUAAAAGUUUUUAUAAACGAUAAAAUAUUUAUUAUAUUGACUCAAAUAAUUUUUAGAUUCACAUUUUACUUUAUUAAAAAUUUUAAUUCAUAUUAUUUAGUAAUUUCAUGCGGAAUAUUAUAUAUAAUUUUAAUUUUUCUUAUUUUAUCCGAUCUGGGAUGGAAAGCCGAAAAUAUCACAUUUUCUCUCCAGAUUUUUAUACAUUGCUUCUUCUCUUUCUCCUUCUCUUCCCUUUUCCCCCUUUCUCUCUCACAAACGACCAGUUUAGAAGCUUCCUUCCUAUCAUCAAUAAGCAAAACCUGUGAACUUCCCAUGCAUUUUCAUAAAUUUGACUACAACCCUGAGGUGCCUAUAUAUGUAUAAAUCAAUGACCAAGGGUGCAUAUGCUUCUAAGGAAAUUUUAUAAGAGAAAAAAAUAAGUGUUAAGGAGAUAUAUAGCACAUCUUUAAUAUCUAGAGAUGGGUUGUUUUGGCAAGCGAAACUCUGAAAAGAAACAAAACCCAUAUCAAACACCUGCCAAAGGAACUAAUCCUCCUCGUCAAGCUCAUUAUGCUGGAGCUAGAAAAGGCAAAAGUCGCAGCAAACAUAGGCAUGGUGUUGGAGCAGGUUUUGCAGGUGCUAUUGCUUUUGCCACUGCAAAUUCAGCCGCUUCUAGUGGUGCUGGUGCUGGUGCUGGUGGUUGCGCUGUUUGAGGCUGUUGAGGAUUGUCUUUGCAACAAUUCAAUUUCUUCUUUAUAUAUUUAUUAAUUACAUAUCAUCUCUUGAGAUUCUAUUAAUUUGUCAUGUUUUUACUUGAAUUUCAGAAAAAAAAAAUUAUAGAAGGAAAUAAAAGGAUUGGC
Molecule: long non-coding RNA, 3319 nt
Filed under: Manihot esculenta (cassava)
Lineage: Eukaryota; Viridiplantae; Streptophyta; Magnoliopsida; Malpighiales; Euphorbiaceae
Description: long non-coding RNA (MESC_LNC010745)
Source: RNAcentral